RNAcentral lists this ribosomal RNA (530 nucleotides) under Enterocloster citroniae. RNAcentral's name for it is "bacterial SSU rRNA". It matches the Rfam family "Bacterial small subunit ribosomal RNA", at positions 1012 to 1533 of the family's 1533-position model. Lineage: Bacteria; Bacillati; Bacillota; Clostridia; Lachnospirales; Lachnospiraceae. The record is from RNAcentral.
CCUUUCCUUCGGGACAGGGGAGACAGGUGGUGCAUGGUUGUCGUCAGCUCGUGUCGUGAGAUGUUGGGUUAAGUCCCGCAACGAGCGCAACCCUUAUCCUUAGUAGCCAGCAGGUAAAGCUGGGCACUCUAGGGAGACUGCCAGGGAUAACCUGGAGGAAGGUGGGGAUGACGUCAAAUCAUCAUGCCCCUUAUGAUUUGGGCUACACACGUGCUACAAUGGCGUAAACAAAGGGAAGCGACCCUGCGAAGGCAAGCAAAUCCCAAAAAUAACGUCCCAGUUCGGACUGUAGUCUGCAACCCGACUACACGAAGCUGGAAUCGCUAGUAAUCGCGAAUCAGAAUGUCGCGGUGAAUACGUUCCCGGGUCUUGUACACACCGCCCGUCACACCAUGGGAGUCAGCAACGCCCGAAGUCAGUGACCCAACCGAAAGGAGGGAGCUGCCGAAGGCGGGGCAGGUAACUGGGGUGAAGUCGUAACAAGGUAGCCGUAUCGGAAGGUGCGGCUGGAUCACCUCCUUUCUAAGGAA